Molecule: ribosomal RNA, 206 nt
Filed under: uncultured bacterium
Lineage: Bacteria
Description: partial 16S ribosomal RNA
Rfam family: Bacterial small subunit ribosomal RNA
Source: RNAcentral
UGCGUAGGCGGGUCUUUAAGUCAGGGGUGAAAUCCUGGAGCUCAACUCCAGAACUGCCUUUGAUACUGAAGAUCUUGAGUUCGGGAGAGGUGAGUGGAACUGCGAGUGUAGAGGUGAAAUUCGUAGAUAUUCGCAAGAACACCAGUGGCGAAGGCGGCUCACUGGCCCGAUACUGACGCCGAGGCACGAAAGCGUGGGAGCAAACA